Molecule: small nuclear RNA, 19 nt
Filed under: Arabidopsis thaliana (thale cress)
Lineage: Eukaryota; Viridiplantae; Streptophyta; Magnoliopsida; Brassicales; Brassicaceae
Description: snRNA_02124
Source: RNAcentral
AGGUAGGACGUGUCGGCUG